ACUUAAGUAAUUUAAUAAAAAAUAUUGAUUUGUGGAGUCAAUUAUGCAGGAUUUUGCCUUAGGUU
RNAcentral lists this transfer RNA (65 nucleotides) under Diestramima tibetensis. Its description in RNAcentral is "tRNA-His". Lineage: Eukaryota; Metazoa; Arthropoda; Insecta; Orthoptera; Rhaphidophoridae. The record is from RNAcentral.